ACCUCAGAUUACAGUGAACUCGUCGGUCUCCUAAGCCGAAGAUUCCCGGUUCAAGUCCGGGGUGCGGUG
Non-coding RNA from Xylaria palmicola, 69 nucleotides. The record is from the annotation of a GenBank genome assembly. NCBI's taxonomy places the organism in Eukaryota, Fungi, Ascomycota, Sordariomycetes, Xylariales, Xylariaceae.